GUUGUUACUGAUGACAAAAUAGAGGUCAAGUUCAAUAAUGACGAUUUUGACUUUUACCGUUCAGGAGUUAUGGUUCUUGAAAGAUCAUAAAAUGGCGUUUCCAUUCAGGUUGUUGCAUUUACUCAUGAACUAUUCAAUCUAAGCUUUUCAAAUUUUAAUAUGUUGAUACUGAUGACAAAAUGGAGGUCAAAUUUGAUAUUGACGAUUUUCACUUUCACCAUUCAUCAGUAAUGGUUCUUG
Molecule: long non-coding RNA, 240 nt
Filed under: Mytilus galloprovincialis (Mediterranean mussel)
Lineage: Eukaryota; Metazoa; Mollusca; Bivalvia; Mytilida; Mytilidae
Source: RNAcentral